Molecule: long non-coding RNA, 352 nt
Organism: Arabidopsis lyrata subsp. lyrata
Lineage: Eukaryota; Viridiplantae; Streptophyta; Magnoliopsida; Brassicales; Brassicaceae
Exons: 2
Source: RefSeq, a predicted model, not a curated record
AUUACAGACCUUUCGAGGUCUUGUAAGAGAAAAAAAAAAAAAAUAAUAAAAGAGAGAUUUAUUCAUCGGCUAAGAUGCCAAGUUCAUCGAAGCUCCUUGUGAUAAUUAUUUUCUCAUUCUUGGCGCUUUUCAUAAUCUCCCAUGCUCAAUCACUUCCAGGUACGCCAUAUGGCGGCCCUCCCCCAGGAUCUGGGUACCGUGCUUGUUUCCUACCUCCUUGCCGUCCAUGAGAGUUUCAACUUGGUCACAUGAAUUAUAAUCAAAUAAAUUUAUUAAGGUGAUGUAUGGGUGUGUCUUUAUAUAUUUUCAUCAUUAUUUGGUGGAGAAUAAAAAGAUUGGGAGAUAUAUGAUA